Cataglyphis hispanica is the source of this 741-nucleotide long non-coding RNA. RefSeq lists it as uncharacterized. The record is from RefSeq and is a predicted model, not a curated record. NCBI's taxonomy places the organism in Eukaryota, Metazoa, Arthropoda, Insecta, Hymenoptera, Formicidae. The transcript has 3 exons.
UUUUUUUAAGGGUACUCUUAAAUAAAUGGAUAAUCGUUAAUUGGAUCCAAUUAAUGAUUUGGUAAGUUAAUAAUGAAGAUAUGGCGUCAUGUAAAGCGAACGGCGCAUGUAAAGCGAUGCGCCGUAAAUUUCAUACACAACGUGUCGCAAGCUCGACGAGAGCAGAGCCCAGAGCGCAGAACCCAGUCGCAGUUGCUCGCCAUCGGGCGCCAGUCCGAACGGGAUGAUCCAGUUGAACACGAGCGAUCGAGCUAGUGUUGACGACGAAGCGAGAAAGCUGAUGAUUAUAGUUAAUCGUGCCGUUCUUUUCGUAUCUCUCGAUCGCGAUGAGUUUUCUUUUUUUCUUUUUUUUUUUCUUUUUCCCGACUCUGGUGAUCUCAAGAUCGACCGACCGGUUUGUGCGUCCGAUCGUUAUCGAAUAAUAUCGACGUAUAACAUCCUAAAUAGGUGCCGGCAUCACGAUGCGAGUUACCGUUCGAUGCAAUUUUCAAGAGCGCGUUCUUAUGAGAAAGAUGACGAAUCAUUGAUGUAGUUUCAUCUCGAUGACUCGACUCGAGAGAGUAGGAAAAACAGGUUUUCUAUUUCAUACGCGGAGCACGAAACUUUUAUCGCGUCAUAAUUAUAAAGUGCGCAAUGAUGAUGUGAAGUGCAACUUUAAUUUAUAUGCAUAUAUACAUAUAAAGAGCAUAAAUUUUGGCACAAAUUUUCGAAGGAGGAAAUAAAUUUAUAUGACGGAAAUAA